This 253-nucleotide ribosomal RNA is filed under the name uncultured bacterium. RNAcentral describes it as "partial 16S ribosomal RNA". It matches the Rfam family "Bacterial small subunit ribosomal RNA", at positions 524 to 776 of the family's 1533-position model. The record is from RNAcentral.
UACGUAGGGGGCGAGCGUUGUCCGGAUUUACUGGGCGUAAAGAGCGCGCAGGCGGUCGAUCAAGUCGCGUGUGAAAGCCCCCGGCUCAACUGGGGAGGGUCACGCGAUACUGAUCGACUCGAAGGCAGGAGAGGGUAGUGGAAUUCCCGGUGUAGUGGUGAAAUGCGUAGAUAUCGGGAGGAACACCAGUGGCGAAGGCGACUACCUGGCCUGUUCUUGACGCUGAGGCGCGAAAGCUAGGGGAGCAAACGGG